GUAAACCUUGAUUUCUUUCAUCAUGUAAUUGAAUAUUUGUACUGAGAGAACUAGGUCAAAAGUUCUGAUUUUUCUCAGAGUAUAAGGCAUGAUUAUAUAUUUAAAGUGCUUCUUUGGGCAGGUUUGUUUUUCUUCAUUUAAUAACCCAUCUGUGAUUUCUUUGUCUAAUCCAGUAAUUCCCUGAAGUGCAAGGGAAGACAGAAAUUCCUCAGGGAUUGCAAAGAAAAGGGGAUUGACUAUUAAAAGCUUCCAAGAAAAGACGGAGAAACCAGCAGAAUUCAGGCUUGAAUUAAACCAGCAAGAGAAAUUCAUUCAGCAAGAGAGACUGAAAACACGAAGGAAAGGCAAUGAAAGUAUGCAUGUUAUUUCAGACCCUCAACACCAGCUGGAAGGCAAAAUAUGCCAUAUACUUUCUUACAAAGUGAGUAGUUCUCCGCAGAAAUAUUGUGUAAACUCAAUUCAAUAAGUAGUUUUUCAACAUCUAUUUUAUGCUUAACACCAAGUUGGGCCCUGAGGAUGCCAAAAUCAGGAAGUCCAUCUCUGCCUCAAGGAAAUCACAAACUAAAAGAGAAGACUAGCGUCUAUAAAUGCAUAAAAAUAAGUGGAUUUACAACUCCAAAGUAAAAAGAAAAAUAGCUCAGUAUAAGCCAGUGCUUACUUUGUGACACGUAAAAAAAGAGCUUAAAGUGGAUUGAAAAUCUAAACAUAAG
RNAcentral lists this long non-coding RNA (710 nucleotides) under Ovis aries (sheep). RNAcentral describes it as "lncRNA (ENSOARG00000025745.1)". Lineage: Eukaryota; Metazoa; Chordata; Mammalia; Artiodactyla; Bovidae. The record is from RNAcentral.